GUCUUGGUGGCUCAGUUGGCAGAGCGCUGGAGUUUCGAUCCAGAUGCCGUGAGUUCAAGUCUCACCCAAGGCA
This 73-nucleotide transfer RNA is filed under the name Leguminivora glycinivorella. RNAcentral describes it as "tRNA-Glu". It matches the Rfam family "tRNA". From Rfam's summary of the family: Transfer RNA (tRNA) molecules are approximately 80 nucleotides in length. Their secondary structure includes four short double-helical elements and three loops (D, anti-codon, and T loops). Lineage: Eukaryota; Metazoa; Arthropoda; Insecta; Lepidoptera; Tortricidae. The record is from RNAcentral.